ACGCUGGCGGCAGGCUUAACACAUGCAAGUCGAACGGUAGCAGGAGAAAGCUUGCUUUCUUGCUGACGAGUGGCGGACGGGUGAGUAAUGCUUGGGAAUCUGGCUUAUGGAGGGGGAUAACUACGGGAAACUGUAGCUAAUACCGCGUAGUAUCGGAAGAUGAAAGUGCGGGACCGUAAGGCCGCAUGCCAUGAGAUGAGCCCAAGUGGGAUUAGGUAGUUGGUGGGGUAAAGGCCUACCAAGCCUGCGAUCUCUAGCUGGUCUGAGAGGAUGGCCAGCCACACUGGAACUGAGACACGGUCCAGACUCCUACGGGAGGCAGCAGUGGGGAAUAUUGCGCAAUGGGGGGAACCCUGACGCAGCCAUGCCGCGUGAAUGAAGAAGGCCUUCGGGUUGUAAAGUUCUUUCGGUAUUGAGGAAGGAGUGUAUGUUAAUAGCAUACAUUAUUGACGUUAAAUACAGAAGAAGCACCGGCUAACUCCGUGCCAGCAGCCGCGGUAAUACGGAGGGUGCGAGCGUUAAUCGGAAUAACUGGGCGUAAAGGGCACGCAGGCGGUUAUUUAAGUGAGGUGUGAAAGCCCCGGGCUUAACCUGGGAAUUGCAUUUCAGACUGGGUAACUAGAGUACUUUAGGGAGGGGUAGAAUUCCACGUGUAGCGGUGAAAUGCGUAGAGAUGUGGAGGAAUACCGAAGGCGAAGGCAGCCCCUUGGGAAUGUACUGACGCUCAUAUGCGAAAGCGUGGGGAGCAAACAGGAUUAGAUACCCUGGUAGUCCACGCUGUAAACGCUGUCGAUUUGGGGAUUGGGCUUUAAGCUUGGUGCCCGUAGCUAACGUGAUAAAUCGACCGCCUGGGGAGUACGGCCGCAAGGUUAAAACUCAAAUGAAUUGACGGGGGCCCGCACAAGCGGUG
Molecule: ribosomal RNA, 910 nt
Filed under: uncultured bacterium
Lineage: Bacteria
Description: bacterial SSU rRNA
Rfam family: Bacterial small subunit ribosomal RNA
Source: RNAcentral